Molecule: unclassified non-coding RNA, 342 nt
Filed under: Hevea brasiliensis (rubber tree)
Lineage: Eukaryota; Viridiplantae; Streptophyta; Magnoliopsida; Malpighiales; Euphorbiaceae
Source: RNAcentral
CUCACAUGGAUAUUAAAACAACCUCACAACCGUAGCCAUGAAAAUUCUUGGACAAGUUCAUACGAAACUUGUGCCAGGUUCGAUCCUGAAUCCAAGUAUGCUCAAUGAUGGGCAUUGGCAAUUGAUAUUUCUUCAUAAACUUUUUACUACUCUAGAAUUUUAUAAAGGCACGCAUAUCAACAGAAAACAAGCUCAAACCAGGCUGUCAAUAGCAUACCAACAAAAUUCCAACCAUAUGAAUACUUGUCUUAUUGUAUCCAUCGAGUCUCAACAAGGCGAGCAUCUAAUGUUGUAAAAUCUUUGCAACUACAUUGAAACAUCAAGAUGUAAAUAGAAAGACUU